AUAUGGAUAGCUCAAUGGUAGAGCAAUCGGCAAAAGGCCGAUGGUUGCGGGUUCGAUUCCGGCUCCAUAUACCA
Molecule: transfer RNA, 74 nt
Filed under: Zoogloeaceae bacterium
Lineage: Bacteria; Pseudomonadati; Pseudomonadota; Betaproteobacteria; Rhodocyclales; Zoogloeaceae
Description: tRNA-Phe
Rfam family: tRNA
About the family: Transfer RNA (tRNA) molecules are approximately 80 nucleotides in length. Their secondary structure includes four short double-helical elements and three loops (D, anti-codon, and T loops).
Source: RNAcentral